CUCAGACUUCCAUUCCAUCUACACAGUCUCUGGAUGCAAUCCCGAAUUUCCACAUUAUGGUUUUUUUUUGGUUGUUGUUGUUCUUAAGCUUUUUACAUUUUUUAUAUUUGUACUUUAUUUUUUUUUUGAAGGAAAAUUUGAAUUUUAAUUAUUUUUAUGUACAGAAAACUCAACAGUGUACGUUUAACCCAGCUUAGUGGCAAGUUCUUUAGCCUUUGCCUUUUCGAGCUUGGCGAUACGAGCCACAGACUUGGGACCCAGGACACACGCCCCAGUGACGGCGGAUCUCAUCAUAUCUGUCGUUGUAAUUGGUCCUGAUAGCUUCCACCAGCUUAGCCAAAGUGCCUUUGUCUUCCGAGUUCACCUGUGUGAAGGCGACAGUGGUGCAGGUCUUCCUGUGGACUAGACGGCCCAGUCUGGCCUUCCCCUUGAUAAUGCAGUAAGGGACCCCCAUUUUACGACACAGGGCAGGCAAGAAGACAACCAGCUCGAUGGGAUCCACGUCAUGUGCAAUCACCACCAGCUGAGCCUUCUUGUUCUCCACCAAGGUGGUGACGGUGUUAACUCCUGCUUGAAGGACAGGUGGUCUUUUAGUGGGGACAUCCCCUUUGCCAGCAGCUUUCUUCUCGGCCCGGGCCAACAGCCUCUGCUUCUUCUCUUGUUUUGUCUCUGGUCUGUACUUGUGGGCCAGCUUAAGCAGCUGAGUAGCUGUUUGGCGGUCCAGGGCCUGGGUGAACUGGUUAAUAGCAGGGGCCGGAGCCACCUUCUUUCCCUUGGCCUUCUUUCCUUUCGGCAUCUUGGGCGGCGGGAGGAGAGAGCUGUUUAAUCUUUAAAAAAUUAAUUAUAGUAAUCAUUCAGUAAAGUACACAAGUCUCACUUGUAUAUCUCAAUACAUUUUUACAUUUGUGUACAUGUAUUUAACCAUACCUAAAUUAGAAAGUAUUUCCAACAUUCCAGAAGGCUCCUUUGGGUCACCUCCUAUGCAAUACCACCCUCUAACCAGAAAUAACCACAAUUCUAACUUCUGUCACCGUAGAUUAGUUUUACC
This 1048-nucleotide long non-coding RNA is filed under the name Macaca fascicularis (crab-eating macaque). Its description in RNAcentral is "lncRNA (ENSMFAG00000061965.1)". The record is from RNAcentral. Lineage: Eukaryota; Metazoa; Chordata; Mammalia; Primates; Cercopithecidae.